UUAUCUCAUACACACCACCAGAUAAUCCAUCAAUCAAUCUAGUGGCGCUACUCUUCCUUCCUAUGGAGGCCGAAGCUUCACUCUGCAACUUCUCCGGCACCAAUGUCGCCUUGCCGACCCUCCACCGCAACCUCCUCUCCCCCUCCACCUCCUUCCGUAGUCGCCAUCUCCGCCAACAACGUAAUCUUACGUCAUCUUUCUUCGGAACCCAACGCCUCAAUUCCACCAAAUGAACUCAAAUUCUCACUUCCAGAAGCGAAAUCUCUCCGUUUUUGCCAUGGCUGCUUCUAAAGAUGUGAAGCGUGAGGUUUCGUUGAAGGACUACAGGAACAUCGGCAUCAUGGCGCACACAGACGCCGGAAAAACUACGACAACGGAGCGUGUGCUGUACUACACGGG
Helianthus annuus (common sunflower) is the source of this 399-nucleotide long non-coding RNA. RefSeq lists it as uncharacterized. Lineage: Eukaryota; Viridiplantae; Streptophyta; Magnoliopsida; Asterales; Asteraceae. The transcript is spliced from 2 exons. The record is from RefSeq and is a predicted model, not a curated record.